UUAAGUGACUAAGCGUACACGGUGGAUGCCUUGGCAGUUGGAGGCGAUGAAGGACGUACUAACUUGCGAUAAGCCUAGUCAAGCCAGUAAGAGGCGCUUGAGACUAGGAUUUCCGAAUGGGGAAACCCACCUGCUUGCAGGUAUCGUUAACUGAAUACAUAGGUUAACGAGGCGAACGCGGAGAACUGAAACAUCUAAGUACCCGUAGGAAAAGAAAUCAAUCGAGAUUCCGAAAGUAGCGGCGAGCGAAAUCGGACCAGCCCUUAAGCUUUAGUGUAGUUAGUGGAACAUGCUGGAAAGCAUGACGAAACAGGGUGAUAGUCCCGUACACAAAAACUUAUCUAAAGUGAAAUCGAGUAGGUCGGAGCACGUGAAACUUUGACUGAAUAUGGGGGGACCAUCCUCCAAGGCUAAAUACUCCCAACUGACCGAUAGUGAACCAGUACCGUGAGGGAAAGGCGAAAAGAACCCCUGUGAGGGGAGUGAAAUAGAACCUGAAACCGUGUACGUACAAGCAGUAGGAGCCUACUUGUUGGGUGACUGCGUACCUUUUGUAUAAUGGGUCAGCGACUUAUAUUCUGUAGCGAGGUUAACCAUUUAGGGGAGCCGUAGCGAAAGCGAGUCUUAACUGGGCGCUUAAGUUGCAGGGUAUAGACCCGAAACCCGGUGAUCUAGCCAUGGGCAGGUUGAAGGUUGAGUAACAUCAACUGGAGGACCGAACCCACUAACGUUGAAAAGUUAGGGGAUGACCUGUGGCUAGGAGUGAAAGGCUAAUCAAACCGGGAGAUAGCUGGUUCUCCCCGAAAUCUAUUUAGGUAGAGCCUCGGACGAAUACUUACGGGGGUAGAGCACUGUUAAGGCUAGGGGGUCAUCCCGACUUACCAACCCUUUGCAAACUCCGAAUACCGUAAAGUAAUAUCCGGGAGACACACGGCGGGUGCUAACGUCCGUCGUGGAGAGGGAAACAACCCAGACCGUCAGCUAAGGUCCCAAAGUGUAUGUUAAGUGGGAAACGAUGUGGGAAGGCUAAAACAGCUAGGAGGUUGGCUUAGAAGCAGCCACCCUUUAAAGAAAGCGUAAUAGCUCACUAGUCGAGUCGGCCUGCGCGGAAGAUGUAACGGGGCUAAACAUACCACCGAAGCUACGGCUGCGUACGUAAGUAUGCGGGGUAGGGGAGCGUUCUGUAAGUGGCUGAAGGUGUGCCGGGAGGCAUGCUGGACAUAUCAGAAGUGCGAAUGCUGACAUGAGUAACGACAAGAGGAGUGAAAAACUCCUCCGCCGGAAGACCAAGGGUUCCUAUCCCAUGUUAAUCAGGGUAGGGUGAGUCGACCCCUAAGGCGAGGCUGAAGAGCGUAGUCGAUGGGAAACGGGUUAAUAUUCCCGUACUCGGUAUGAAUGCGAUGGGGGGACGGAGCAGGCUAGGCAAGCAUGGCGUUGGUUGUCCAUGUGAAAGGCUGAAGGCUGGUGACUUAGGAAAAUCCGGGUUGCUAAGGCUGAGAGUCGAGACGAGCCACUAAGGUGGUGAAGUUGUUGAUGCCCUACUUCCAGGAAAAGCCUCUAAGCUUCAGUUCAUACUGAAUCGUACCCUAAACCGACACAGGUGGUCAGGUAGAGAAUACUAAGGCGCUUGAGAGAACUCGGGUGAAGGAACUAGGCAAAAUUGUACCGUAACUUCGGGAGAAGGUACGCUCUUGUUUGUGAAGGACUUGCUCUGUAAGCAAACGAGAGCCGCAGUGACCAGGUGGCUGGGACUGUUUAUUAAAAACACAGCACUGUGCAAAAUCGUAAGAUGACGUAUACGGUGUGACACCUGCCCGGUGCCGGAAGGUUAAUUGAUGGGGUUAGCUUAGGCGAAGCUCUUGAUCGAAGCCCCGGUAAACGGCGGCCGUAACUAUAACGGUCCUAAGGUAGCGAAAUUCCUUGUCGGGUAAGUUCCGACCUGCACGAAUGGUGUAACCAUGGCCACGCUGUCUCCACCCGAGACUCAGUGAAAUUGAAAUCGCAGUGAAGAUGCUGUGUACCCGCGGCUAGACGGAAAGACCCCGUGAACCUUUACUACAGCUUGGCACUGAGCAUUGACCCUACAUGUGUAGGAUAGGUGGGAGGCUUUGAAGCAGAGACGCUAGUUUCUGUGGAGCCGACCUUGAAAUACCACCCUUGUAGUGUUGAUGUUCUAACUUAGGCCCCUGAAUCGGGGUUGAGGACAGUGCCUGGUGGGUAGUUUGACUGGGGCGGUCUCCUCCCAAAGAGUAACGGAGGAGCACGAAGGUUUGCUAAGUACGGUCGGACAUCGUACGGUUAGUGUAAUGGUAGAAGCAAGCUUAACUGCGAGACAGACACGUCGAGCAGGUACGAAAGUAGGUCAUAGUGAUCCGGUGGUUCUGAAUGGAAGGGCCAUCGCUCAACGGAUAAAAGGUACUCCGGGGGUAACAGGCUGAUACCGCCCAAGAGUUCAUAUCGACGGCGGUGUUUGGCACCUCGAUGUCGGCUCAUCACAUCCUGGGGCUGAAGUCGGUCCCAAGGGUAUGGCUGUUCGCCAUUUAAAGUGGUACGCGAGCUGGGUUUAGAACGUCGUGAGACAGUUCGGUCCCUAUCUGCCGUGGGCGUUUGAGAAUUGAGAGGGGCUGCUCCUAGUACGAGAGGACCGGAGUGGACGAACCGCUGGUGUUCGGGUUGUGAUGCCAAUUGCAUUGCCCGGUAGCUACGUUCGGAACUGAUAACCGCUGAAAGCAUCUAAGCGGGAAGCAGGCCUCGAGAUGAGUUCUCACUUUGACUUAGAGUCAACUGAAGGGCCGUUGAAGACUACAACGUUGAUAGGCGAGAUGUGGAAGUGCUGUGAGGCAUUAAGCUAACUCGUACUAAUUACCCGUGAGGCUUAACCAU
Molecule: ribosomal RNA, 2883 nt
Filed under: Pseudoalteromonas piscicida
Lineage: Bacteria; Pseudomonadati; Pseudomonadota; Gammaproteobacteria; Alteromonadales; Pseudoalteromonadaceae
Description: bacterial LSU rRNA
Rfam family: Bacterial large subunit ribosomal RNA
Source: RNAcentral